Molecule: ribosomal RNA, 465 nt
Filed under: uncultured bacterium
Lineage: Bacteria
Description: partial 16S ribosomal RNA
Rfam family: Bacterial small subunit ribosomal RNA
Source: RNAcentral
GACGAACGCUGGCGGCGUGCUUAACACAUGCAAGUCGAACGGAAAGGCCCUGCUUGCAGGGUACUCGAGUGGCGAACGGGUGAGUAACACGUGGGUGAUCUGCCCUGCACUUCGGGAUAAGCCUGGGAAACUGGGUCUAAUACCGGAUAGGAGCCAUCUUUAGUGUGAUGGUUGGAAAGUUUUUUCGGUGUAGGAUGAGCUCGCGGCCUAUCAGCUUGUUGGUGGGGUAAUGGCCUACCAAGGCGGCGACGGGUAGCCGGCCUGAGAGGGUGGACGGCCACAUUGGGACUGAGAUACGGCCCAGACUCCUACGGGAGGCAGCAGUGGGGAAUAUUGCACAAUGGGCGCAAGCCUGAUGCAGCGACGCCGCGUGGGGGAUGACGGCCUUCGGGUUGUAAACUCCUUUCGCUAGGGACGAAGCUUUUUGUGACGGUAUCUAGAUAAGAAGCACCGGCUAACUACGUG